AGAAAUCAAGAGCAUUUAGAUUGGACAUUACACCAAUAUGGUGUGUAACAAAUCACAGAUAUAUGUUGUUAGAAUAUAUGAAUCAAUAAAAUAAAAUAUAAAUUUUCACAUUCAAGCUGGGAACUAAAAUCAAUGGAAAUAUAAGCAAGAAAUCAGAUUUAUCUAAUAUUUGCCAAAAUCCAUUACCAGUAAAGAAAAGUCAAGUGGUAGUAUUACAAGUGCAAGAGAGAAUUCUCAAUACAAAGCAGACAAAUGGGGGGUAUUAUUUUAGAAGAAACAUAAACGAAUACAUUCAUUCAUACAACAAAGUUACACAAACAUUGACUCUUAGCUAUACUUAAAUGACGUUAUGUACAAAAUCAACCCCUUGAAGAUGACUUUGACAUUACAAUCUCCUUGCAAACAUUUUUCAUUGUAGGGCGACAAUGCCGACUCUGUGUUAAGCAAUAUCACUUCUUUCCCAAUACAUUACCACACAAGUUUGUUAUUUCUGAGUGCUUCAAAUGAAGCAUUUUGGAAGGCUGAAAUGCUUGGAACGGAAGUGAUGAAAAAUUGAGAUUUUGAAGCAUACCUCUUAGUCCAAUAUUGGUGAGAUUUACCUUGUAGAUGGAUUAUGACAUCAAGGAUUAUUACCAAUCCAUGAAGAAAGCAAAACUUUGCUUUGCCUGUCAAAGCUUUCUUUCCACUUUAACAGACCGUCUGCCUCUCUCCAUAGGUUUUUUGACGCAAGAUUAGGUGAUGUGAUAACUACAAACACAUAAAAGAACAAAAGAAGACACAAGUUUGGUAAAUGCUUCAUUCUUUGAAAAUCACUCAAAGUAUAUAAUAGAACAAAAGACUUAUUAGGCUUUGUGCAUUUUAAUGAAUGUUUUGGAUGACAUUUAUGCACUCCUACCAGGGUCAUUAUAGUAAUUCUUUG
This 919-nucleotide long non-coding RNA is filed under the name Lathyrus oleraceus (garden pea). RNAcentral describes it as "Pisum sativum (pea) long non-coding RNA (PSAT_LNC024691)". The record is from RNAcentral. Lineage: Eukaryota; Viridiplantae; Streptophyta; Magnoliopsida; Fabales; Fabaceae.